RNAcentral lists this ribosomal RNA (458 nucleotides) under uncultured soil bacterium. RNAcentral's name for it is "bacterial SSU rRNA". It matches the Rfam family "Bacterial small subunit ribosomal RNA", at positions 26 to 481 of the family's 1533-position model. The record is from RNAcentral.
AGAUUGAACGCUGGCGGAAUGCUUUACACAUGCAAGUCGAACGGCAGCACGGGGGCAACCCUGGUGGCGAGUGGCGAACGGGUGAGUAAUACAUCGGAACGUGCCCAAUCGUGGGGGAUAACGUAGCGAAAGCUACGCUAAUACCGCAUACGAUCUACGGAUGAAAGCGGGGGAUCGCGAGACCUCGCGCGAAUGGAGCGGCCGAUGGCAGAUUAGGUAGUUGGUGGGGUAAAGGCUCACCAAGCCAACGAUCUGUAGCUGGUCUGAGAGGACGACCAGCCACACUGGGACUGAGACACGGCCCAGACUCCGUACGGGAGGCAGCAGUGGGGAAUUUUGGACAAGUGGGCGAAAGCCUGAUCCAGCCAUCCGCGUGCAGGAUGAAGGCCCUCGGUUGUAAACUGCUUUUGGACGGAACGAAAGCCUUACUUCUAAUACAAGAGGUCAUGACGGUACGU